GGAGGAAUAUUGGGCAAUGGGGGAAACCCUGACCCAGCAACGCCGCGUGAAGGAAGAAGGCCUUCGGGUUGUAAACUUCUGUUUAUGGAGAAGAUAAUGACGGUAUCCAUGGAGGAAGCUCCGGCAAACUACGUGCCAGCAGCCGCGGUAAUACGUAGGGAGCAAGCGUUGUCCGGAAUCACUGGGCGUAAAGGGCGCGUAGGCGGUAGCUUAAGUUGCAUGUAAAAUACCAGUGCUCAACAUUGGGGGGUCAUGCAAGACUGAGGUACUUGAGAGUAGUAGAGGGAAGCGGAAUUCCUGGUGUAGCGGUGAAAUGCGUAGAGAUCAGGAGGAACACCGGUGGCGAAGGCGGCUUUCUGGGCUACAACUGACGCUGAGGCGCGAAAGCGUGGGGAGCAAACA
Molecule: ribosomal RNA, 402 nt
Filed under: uncultured bacterium
Lineage: Bacteria
Description: partial 16S ribosomal RNA
Rfam family: Bacterial small subunit ribosomal RNA
Source: RNAcentral